UACGGGGGGGGCAAGCGUUGUUCGGAAUUACUGGGCGUAAAGGGCUCGUAGGCGGCCAACUAAGUCAGACGUGAAAUCCCUCGGCUUAACCGGGGAACUGCGUCUGAUACUGGAUGGCUGGAGUUUGGGAGAGGGAUGCGGAAUUCCAGGUGUAGCGGUGAAAUGCGUAGAUAUCUGGAGGAACACCGGUGGCGAAGGCGGCAUCCUGGACCGACACUGACGCUGAGGAGCGAAAGCCGGGGGAGCAAACGGG
RNAcentral lists this ribosomal RNA (253 nucleotides) under uncultured bacterium. RNAcentral's name for it is "partial 16S ribosomal RNA". It matches the Rfam family "Bacterial small subunit ribosomal RNA", at positions 524 to 776 of the family's 1533-position model. The record is from RNAcentral.